AUGAAUCCAACAAAAAACAGUGGUCGCGGCGGCGAAUUUGACAUUCCUUCUAAUAAUCCUCAUGGAAACAGAGUUGAGAGAAUACAGAAAAACAUUGAUACCAUUGGCAGCCGCAGUGCACACGGCACCACCACAACGCAUCCCGCCAGGCAGCUGCCGAGGACGACACACAGCAGGCGCUGCGCCAGACCGCCUCCCGCGCCUCCACACAGGCCUGCCGAUCUGGCGAGCAACCGAGCCAGCCCCGCAUCCCCUGUCGCCCAGCCACCCACCGGAGAGCUCCACCACCACGGCACGGGGAUGCCGCCGCCGCCGCCGUCACAGGCCGGGCCGCGGCUGGACGACGAGGCGUUGGCCUUCUCGGGGUCAACGCGAGCAGACGAAGCGGCGCGAGAUCAUCGGCCGGACCUAGGGCAUGCGCAGGUGGCGGAGGCUAUGGACGUCCGAAUCGAGCCGAAGCCGACGCAGGGAUCAGAUACUGGGCUGGCGGCCAGAUCGGGCGACGCAGCUCCAAACCGCCAUCCAUGGCGUCCUCUCGUGGUUCCUCACCGACAGGGGGGUUGCUGCCCUGGCCCCCGCCAGCCACCACGGCUGCGCACAGUGGGAAGGCUAGGCCAAGCUGUUCGUGGGCUAGAUCGGGGUGGAUGA
This 648-nucleotide ribosomal RNA is filed under the name Triticum aestivum (bread wheat). RNAcentral describes it as "partial small subunit ribosomal RNA". Lineage: Eukaryota; Viridiplantae; Streptophyta; Magnoliopsida; Poales; Poaceae. The record is from RNAcentral.